This 5271-nucleotide long non-coding RNA is filed under the name Chlamydomonas reinhardtii. RNAcentral describes it as "long non-coding RNA (CREI_LNC000175)". The record is from RNAcentral. Lineage: Eukaryota; Viridiplantae; Chlorophyta; Chlorophyceae; Chlamydomonadales; Chlamydomonadaceae.
CUUGUUGGCGGGCUGGAAGUCGCGGGCAGUCUUGGGGCGCUGGACCAGGAAGCCCAUGAUCUGCACCUGCUUCUGGUUGUCGAAGGCCACCAGGCGCACGUAGGCAUCGGGGAAGGCCUUGGUGCAGGCGACGAUCUCGCGCAGCACCUGCAUGGGGUCGCGGCAGCCGAACAUGGGCAGCUUCCACAUGGUCCAGUAGCGGUUGUCGUAGUACAGCUGCGGGCGCACGGGAAAUGGGAGGGAGAAGAGGUUCAGUCACCAGCGCACAGAACCACCAAAGAUGGAAUUGGGCCCCUUGCUUUUCCGUGCUGAAGCACGAGCAGGGGUAUGCGUCAGUUCCCCGCGGUGAGAUAGGCGCUGUCCCGGUGCCAAGCUAACCCAGUGCCACAGUGGACCCGUCUGGCUCUCGCUCCGACUUACGCAAGACACGCUGCCGAAGCGGAUGGCCGACUCGUUGGACACGUAGGCCUUGUCGGCCUCAGCGAACUCCAGGCAGGGGAUCCAGCCUGCAAGCGACAGCACGAAGGGGGUAAGAUAAGUGGCCGACGCAAGCAGUCCAGGGCUAUCCCAGAUAAGGGCGGAUGACAGGCAAACUAUACAGCAGACAACGAACAAGCUAAUCUCAAGCUUCGAGCGAUCGUAAUGUCGCAGUCUGCAGCUACGCCCUAGAUCGUAUUAACUAGCUCUCAAACACAGCCCAGCUACAUAUGCCCACGGCACCAAGCCGUGCUCACCGUUGGCGACGAUGUAGUCGACCUGGGCGGCGAUCUGCUCGUCGGUCAGAGGAGGCAGGUAGGAGAAGGUCUCGAACAUCCUGCGAUCACGCGAUUGACCAGUACUCGUUAGAAGUGGCAGAGCACGUGCGAUGUGAGGCAGCAGGCUGGGCCCCAAGCAAUUGCGUCGCGACUUGCAGAAUCCCUAUCCUUCGGGCUGCGCUUGCUCGUCGACUCACUUGUUGUUGACCGGGGUCCAGACCAUCAUCUGGUUGGCCUGAGCCGGGGCAGCCACGGGGGCAGCCUUGACGGCGGGCUUCAGCGCGGCCAUGGGGCGCACGCUGGAGCGGGCCGGGCGAGCCACGGCCGCGGAGACGGAGGACUUGGCAAUGACGGCGGCCAUUUUAGAUGUUUGAGAAAGUGGUCGAAUGAACGAGUAAGUUCUUGGGACAAAGACUCGGAGGUGGCCGGUCGCCGUUUUCAAUCCCCGCUCGCCGAUGACCCGUACGGCAGGCUUAUCCGACUCGUCGGCUUUCACGACCGCCCGAGCCUGCGCGCUUCAUCCGCUUCCGGAUAGCUUGCUACGAUAAUGCAUUAUUCAAUUUUACGACGCAAUGUCAUGAGCAGCGCCGGGCGGGCUUAUUUACAUGCGUCGCCUCGCUCGCCGUUGACUUGAUACUUUGGAAAUUCGGGCUCGAUUCGUUGCUACAGCCUGCCUUUUGCACACAAUGUGAACGUCGAUUCUACAUUUGUAUGUGACUGAACUUCGCGGCCCCUACUGAACGUUUCGUGCAAGCGACAUGUCGACUCACAACUUGGAGGAACGCGCGAGGGGUCCCCACACGCACUUUCAGCCUGCUUUGGCGAAAUGGACAUGAUAGGUAUAGCCAGGAUAUGGGUCUGCUAGCUCGCCUGGUGUUUUGACCGUCGAUCGGUUUCGCGUUGGGCCUUGCGGCUGCUCGCUCGCCGCGGAUGCUUCCGCACACUGCGCGGCACGUGUUAGUCUGUGCACGACGACGGUUUGUUUGUAUUGCGCCGCCAACGUUCAACGGUGGUGGUAGGUUCGAAUGUCAGAAUGUCGGGCACGGGGACCUUGGGCGCAUUGCCUACAAGCGCGUGCCUGUGUUUUUGGGGGGCAGAGAAGUGAGCCUGCCUAUUGGGUCACAAUAGCACAGAGGCGGGUGGCCAGCGUCGGGAACUGGUUCAGAACGGCUGCAGGGACAGCACCGUGCGUGCGUGUGUGUGUGGGGGGAGCCUUCAAAGUUGACGAGCUUCGCAGCGCUGGGAUGGACUGGCAUUGCGUGCUUGAGUUUGCGUCCCGUGAGAACCCUGCAGUUUAUGGCGGAGACAGGGAAGAGGGAAUGGGAUCGCGCCGGUGCAGGGAAAGGGCACGAAUCUGAGGUUACGGUAUCUGGGGGGAGGUGCCCAUGUGGGAGGGGAAGCCUAACUGCCUGUCUGGGUGCAGACCAGGAAUGGCAACACGUGAACGGUUAGUAGAGAGCUGUGUGCUGUUGGGCGCUCUCGGCAAGGGGCGUGGGAGGGGGCUGGGUUGGUGGGCGGCUGUCCGCACAGUGCCUAGCAGUGCGCACUCAGGCCCUUCGCAGACCGAAGAGGGCGCCAGGGCCUAUGCGCGCGUGGCUUGGCGUGAGGUUCUUGCUGUUGGCGUCAGGCGCCGCAAAAGGCCGGGUGGCUCUGCAGUGUCCUGCUCGCUUGGCGUGCGGCAAAGUGGUUCAGUCAGCGAGCGCAGUGUAUGCGUGUGUGCGUGUAUGCGUGUGCGUGCGUGUGUGUGUGUGUGUGUGUGUGUGUGUGUGUGUGUGUGUGGUUGCUGCGGAGAGGGCACGCAGCGACACGAGAUUGCCAUGCAGUGGUGCAAGCUGCUGGGGUCGGGUAAACGGGGUGGGAAAGUUGGUGAUGGUGGAAUGUUCUUGUGGCACGAACUGGCCUUGUGCGUAUUCGUUCGCCCCGUUCACUCUGGUCCACCAAUCCCACAGUCACUGCACUUAAAUGCCUAAAAGCCCCUGCUACGGUGCGGACAGGGUAAGGCCACGGCAGGUCUAAGUCCAUAUGCGCCCGUAGAGGUUCGAGUGCGUUAACCGGUCGCAAGGUGUUCACAACAUGUUGAUGUGUUGACAACAUGGCUGUGGUCAAGACGUGCCCUGCGAACUUCCCGUGUUUACAUGUUAAUAGAGCUCGCUGACAGCAGUCAUUUGACACCAUUAUGGAAGAAAACAGAGGGGAUUUAGGGGGUGUACGGCACGGUAUGGCACGGUCGGUCGUCGGUCCGGGGGGUCGGGGGGUUCUGCAGGGUGGGGCCUGGAACUAUUGUUCGUACACCCCCGCCUGGCUCCCCUGCUCCCCCUGACUAACCCCUGACCUCUGGCUUUCUUCGCUUUCCUUUCAGUGUCACCAAUUCUCAUGAGUGGGGGCGCACCCCGAAAUAAGCGGGUACGGUGCUUCAGUUCAGUGCUUGCCACGGCCUCAAGAGCCCCAAACCACGUGCACCGAAAUUCGCUUGCACUCCAAAUGCACUGGGAAGCCAGUAGCAGCGCGCUCUCAAAUGCUGGCAUGUGUCUCUCUCUGUCCAGAGCCUGAAUGCGCCAAGUCUGCUACGGUAGGAGGGUGCAACCCGUGGCCCGCCUUGAACCGCGCUUGCACACACAGCUGGAUUGCUGCUGGCAUGACCGUGUGAAAGAGGUACAGGCAGCCGGGCAAGUCCCAGCGGGCAGGUUGGUGUAGGCUAUGCCCCAUAACAGGCCCGUGCAUGCUGCCACGGACUUCUCGCCAGGAAUGUAAGUCCCGAUGCUAGACAAUUACUCCAGCAGCUGCAUGCCGCCAUCUUCAGUACUCGGUAUCCCUUGGUGCACGCAAGUCAAGGAUCAGUCCCAGGGCUCACCCUGGAGCAAUGCAGCCUGCGUGUGCACCUGCGAUGGAGCCGCGGCCUGCGGUAUUGGCUGCCCGAUUACGAAGCUGCGGGUGGGGGCAGUUGGCACGCAUUCCGCCACAGACCCCGCGAGCCUAGCCGCACCCAAGCUCUAAGCGGCCUAGACCGUGACCAAAGGCGAAGAAGCCGCGGCCAUCCCUGCGCUCAGAUUGCAUUGGUUACAAGAGGGACCUGCUGACGCAGUUCAUGGCUUCAUGCGCUCAGAGCCCGAGCCCUGAGCGGCAGCAAAAGCAGAAGCCACGCUACGUGUGCUAGCUACGACCAAUGCCUUGUACAGCUCUCCUCGGCUGCGCUCUUCGGCUGCGCUCCUCGGCUGCGCGGGACAGGGGACUCCGUGCAACCACUAUUGCUUAUAGCCUGCACCAGUCAUUGACGAGUGUUGCGGAACUAAUGCGUACGUAGACCAGAGCGGAAGGCGGAGUGGGCUUGCAGGCGGCACGAGAGUAGGCAGUCAGUAGCGCAAGUUGCGAAUUCCCAUGUUACCUCGUAACCGACGGUAAACGCUGUGGACGGUCGCGCCCAUGGCUGGCUGACGGAAGCUGGCUGCGGUAUUGGGAUGGCUGGGCUGGAUGACGCCGGCCGGGCUGGCGUUGGGACUACCAGAAAGGAUGCGCCCGAAACCAACCUGGAGAACACCAGCGCCACCGGUGCCCAGCACGACAUGUAAGGGAGGGAGGGAGGGACAGGAGGCGUGAUGCACUGCAGCGUAGAAGCUGCAGUCAUGGGCACAGCUUGUACCAUACAGCACGGUCAUCAAGGACACAAUGCCGGAACGGCAUCAUACGAGGCGGGGUUGGGAGCUGCAGGAAGUGGGCAGCGGGGCAGAAUCAAAGGUUUGCAUCGUUUAGAACAGGUGCGGAACACGCGCCAGCGCCAGCGCGGAGGACCCCAAGUAAGGCCUUUACUCACCAAUGUACGUUUUGUACACCCAAUCUCGCCCCCUAUCGACGUUGGCACUAGGUAGCUGGCUAUCAUUCUAUGCAGAUUAAGCAAAGGGGCACCGGGAACAACUGACUCAUGUUCGUCACUGCAGGUUACUGCAAAUGCUGUCUCCACCUUUGCUGCACGGUUCCGUUUCGUCACGUUUGCUGGUGUUGCUACCCGCCGUUCUUUAGUGUGUAACUGAUCUGCGAACCGAGUCCCCUUCAGCUGAUGAACCCCGCAGCAACUUUUCCAAAAGCGCUUCAAAUACGCCCAGCCCGCCCAUGGAGAAAGAGGCCAAAAUCAACGGAGGAUCGUUACAACCAACAAAAUUGCAAAACUCCUCCGCUUUUUACGUGUUGAAAAAGACUGAUCAGCACGAAACGGGGAGCUAAGCUACCGCUUCAGCACUUGAGAGCAGUAUCUUCCAUCCACCGCCGUUCGUCAGGGGGCAAGGCUCAGAUCAACGAGCGCCUCCAUUUACACGGAGCGCUUGUUGGCGGGCUGCCAGUCGCGGGCAGACUUGGGGCGCUGGACCAGGAAGCCCAUGAUCUGCACCUGCUUCUGGUUGUCGAAGGCCACCAGGCGCACGUAGGCAUCGGGGAAGGCCUUGGUGCAGGCGACGAUCUCGCGCAGCACCUGCAUGGGGUCGCGGCAGCCGAACAUGGGCAGCUUCCACAUGGUCCAGUAGCGGUU